This 233-nucleotide ribosomal RNA is filed under the name uncultured Atopobium sp. RNAcentral's name for it is "partial 16S ribosomal RNA". It matches the Rfam family "Bacterial small subunit ribosomal RNA", at positions 124 to 357 of the family's 1533-position model. The record is from RNAcentral. Lineage: Bacteria; Bacillati; Actinomycetota; Coriobacteriia; Coriobacteriales; Atopobiaceae.
ACCUGCCCUUUGCACUGGGAUAGCCUCGGGAAACCGAGGUUAAUACCGGAUACUCCAUAUCCAUCGCAUGAUAGAUAUGGGAAAGCUCCGGCGGCAAAGGAUGGGCCCGCGGCCUGUUAGCUAGUUGGUGGGGUAGUGGCCUACCAAGGCAAUGAUGGGUAGCCGGGUUGAGAGACCGACUGGCCAGAUUGGGACUGAGACACGGCCCAGACUCCUACGGGAGGCAGCAGCGA